Molecule: ribosomal RNA, 253 nt
Filed under: uncultured bacterium
Lineage: Bacteria
Description: partial 16S ribosomal RNA
Rfam family: Bacterial small subunit ribosomal RNA
Source: RNAcentral
UACAGAGGUCUCAAGCGUUGUUCGGAUUCAUUGGGCGUAAAGGGUGUGUAGGUGGCGCCGUAAGUCGGGUGUGAAAUCUCGGAGCUUAACUCCGAAACUGCAUUCGAUACUGCCGUGCUUGAGGACUGGAGAGGAGACUGGAAUUUACGGUGUAGCGGUGAAAUGCGUAGAUAUUAGGAAGAACACCAGUGGCGAAGGCGGCUCACUGGCCCGGUACUGACGCUGAGGCGCGAAAGCGUGGGGAGCAAACAGG